UACGGAGGGGGCAAGCGUUAUUCGGAAUUACUGGGCGUAAAGGGCUCGUAGGCGGCCAACUAAGUCACACGUGAAAUCCCCAGGCUUAACCUGGGAACUGCGUGUGAUACUGGAUGGCUUGAAUUCGGGAGAGGGAUGCAGAAUUCCAGGUGUAGCGGUGAAAUGCGUAGAUAUCUGGAGGAAUACCGGUGGCGAAGGCGGCAUCCUGGACCGACAUUGACGCUGAGGAGCGAAAGCUAGGGGAGCAAACGGG
RNAcentral lists this ribosomal RNA (253 nucleotides) under uncultured bacterium. RNAcentral's name for it is "partial 16S ribosomal RNA". It matches the Rfam family "Bacterial small subunit ribosomal RNA", at positions 524 to 776 of the family's 1533-position model. The record is from RNAcentral.